GAGAUAACUCCUACGGGAGGCAGCAGUGAGGAAUAUUGGUCAAUGGUCGCAAGACUGAACCAGCCAUGCCGCGUGCAGGAAGACGGUCCUAUGGAUUGUAAACUGCUUUUAUACAGGAAGAAACCCUCCCACGUGUGGGAGCUUGACGGUACUGUAGGAAUAAGGAUCGGCUAACUCCGUGCCAGCAGCCGCGGUAAUACGGAGGAUCCAAGCGUUAUCCGGAAUCAUUGGGUUUAAAGGGUCCGUAGGCGGUCUUAUAAGUCAGUGGUGAAAGCCCAUCGCUCAACGAUGGAACUGCCAUUGAUACUGUAAGACUUGAAUGCUUAGGAAGUAACUAGAAUAUGUAGUGUAGCGGUGAAAUGCUUAGAUAUUACAUGGAAUACCAAUUGCGAAGGCAGGUUACUACUAAGUGAUUGACGCUGAUGGACGAAAGCGUGGGGAGCGAACAGGAUUAGAAACCCUUGUAGUCCUCCACU
RNAcentral lists this ribosomal RNA (476 nucleotides) under uncultured bacterium. Its description in RNAcentral is "bacterial SSU rRNA". It matches the Rfam family "Bacterial small subunit ribosomal RNA", at positions 329 to 803 of the family's 1533-position model. The record is from RNAcentral.